CAGUAGCCGCGGGAAAACGUAGGUGGCAAGCGUUAUCCGGAAUUAUUGGGCGUAAAGCGCGCGUAGGCGGUUUUUUAAGUCUGAUGUGAAAGCCCACGGCUCAACCGUGGAGGGUCAUUGGAAACUGGAAAACUUGAGUGCAGAAGAGGAAAGUGGAAUUCCAUGUGUAGCGGUGAAAUGCGCAGAGAUAUGGAGGAACACCAGUGGCGAAGGCGACUUUCUGGUCUGUAACUGACGCUGAUGUGCGAAAGCGUGGGGAUCAAACAGGAUUAGAUACCCCUGUAGUCCCUGUCUCUUAUAA
RNAcentral lists this ribosomal RNA (301 nucleotides) under uncultured bacterium. RNAcentral's name for it is "partial 16S ribosomal RNA". It matches the Rfam family "Bacterial small subunit ribosomal RNA", at positions 509 to 809 of the family's 1533-position model. The record is from RNAcentral.